GGGCCGCACGCGCGCUACACUGACGGAGCCAGCGAGUUGGGAUCCUUGGCCGAGAGGUCUGGGUAAUCUUGUGAAACUCCGUCGUGCUGGGGAUAGAGCAUUGCAAUUAUUGCUCUUCAACGAGGAAUUCCUAGUAAGCGCAAGUCAUCAGCUUGCGUUGAUUACGUCCC
This 170-nucleotide ribosomal RNA is filed under the name Komagataea salicaria. Its description in RNAcentral is "Barnettozyma salicaria partial 18S rRNA". It matches the Rfam family "Eukaryotic small subunit ribosomal RNA", at positions 1484 to 1653 of the family's 1831-position model. Lineage: Eukaryota; Fungi; Ascomycota; Saccharomycetes; Phaffomycetales; Wickerhamomycetaceae. The record is from RNAcentral.